RNAcentral lists this long non-coding RNA (3589 nucleotides) under Brassica napus (rape). RNAcentral's name for it is "long non-coding RNA (BNAP_LNC005924)". Lineage: Eukaryota; Viridiplantae; Streptophyta; Magnoliopsida; Brassicales; Brassicaceae. The record is from RNAcentral.
ACCGUCGCCGGAAGUCUACGCGAAAGCGGCGGUGGAGCAGAUCGGAAUUGGAUCACGAUGCUCCCCAUUCUGGGCUCAUUCCCUUCAAUGGUUUCUCGCAGAACUUAUGCCGGAGAACCUUCUUGAUACUUGGCGUCUCUCUAUCGGCCUUCAUAGAAGAAGUAUGUCUUAAUUCGCUCGAUCAAUCAUGUUUUUAAAUAUUUUUAGCUAUAUAUUUUCCGGUUACCUUUUUUUACUAUAACGUUUUUCUCUUACUAUCUACAGUAACUAAGCAUACUAUCGACCAAAAAUAAACAUUAUGUAAAUUUAUUAAGACUUGAGAGCGUGCUAUAUUUUUUUUCGUUAAGACCUUUUAAGAUCCACAACAGGAACAUGAAAAUAAAUGAAACAUUUUUAUGGUUAAGUUUUUGCCAUUCAACACCAAUCCCUACAAGAAUGUAAAGACUCUUUUUGUUACCUGAUGUGAAAUGUUCACUGUCUCUUUUAAAACAAAACAGCAAUGCUGAAAACAUGUAACUAAUUUGUGCCUCCAAAUUUCCAAGAGAAUGAGUUUAUAAUUCAGAUCAGGAACAUAUCUUACGUGUAUUAGUAUAAUAUUAUUAAUUUGAAUCCAUUUACUCUAGAGGAGUAUUAUUUCACAUAACCAUUCAUAUAUUUUCAUUUAGCUCAAUAAGUCACUCUUUGUUGGGCCAUGAACCACUUAUUCUCCAAAUCAGUAUGUUCACUGCUACUAUAAUAAGGCUUCUAUCAUAAGUCAAUCGACGGUAACAUACCCACCAACAAUGAUCUACGGUCAGACUCUGAUCUUCGUGUCACUGCUUAUUGCGACUCCGAUUGGAAUACAUGUCCUAUCUCUCGACGGUCUGUCAGCGCAUACAUUGUUCAGCUCGGACAAUCUCCCAUUUCUUGGAAGACAAAGAAACAGAAGACGGUGUCUAUGUCCUCUGCUGAAGCUGAAUAUCGCGCCAUGGCAUUCACCUUGAAGGAACUCAAAUGGAUCAAACAACUACUUGCAGCUUUCGGAAUUCGCCAUGAUCAACCUAUGCGUCUCUUUUGCGACAGCAAAUCUGCCAUCUAUAUUGCCGCAAACCCUGUGUUUCAUGAGCGCACCAAACAUGUCGAAUCUGAUUGUCAUUUUGUUCGUGAUGCGGUCGUGGAAAAACUCAUCACAACUGAACAUAUCAAGACCAAGGAACAGCCAACAGACUUACUUACAAAAGCACUACCAUCAACUACAUUUGCUUAUCUUCUUUCCAAGUUGGAGAUUCACAAUCUUUCACCUCCAACUUGAGGGAGGGUGUAGAGAUAAGGACAUAACUUGUAGAUAAAGAUAACUAUGUAUUGUAGUUAUCUAAAUCCCCUAAGGGUUAGGAGAUCCUUCUUGUAUAUAUACAAUAUGACGUACAUCAAUAUACACGUACAUCAAUAUACACAACAGAUUACAUUUUAUUUUAAUAACUAAGAGUAUAUGAUAAAAUCAUAGGAAACCAAAGUGGUUAUCAUGAGGUAUAACUAAAAGACCGUUACUUAAAUUAGUUGCUUAGCGAUUAUAACUAAAGGUGUCUACAGAAAAUAUAAUUAAAUGAAAAAUUCUGCAAUUUUACGUUUACCAUUUUAUACUUUUUGAAGUAAAAUUCAGCAGUUUUUUCUAAUAUUGUUGAUAAGCUUUCUUUAAAAUCAUAUAUUAUAAUGUAAAACCGUAUGUUUUUAAAUCAAAAUAAAGUCUAUUUCUAUAUGUUUUGGUAUUAAAAAAUCUACUUUAUAAGGGAAACGACUACAAAAUUUGGUUUCUUUUCAAAUUACUGACUACAGCUAUAUUGGUGACUUGCAUAUAAUCCAGAUUAAGGUUAAUUUCAUUCCGGUCUUCAAUUUCUUGGUGGUCGUUGUAUCAUAAAUAUGGAACUACUCAGUCAUUAGUAUAUGGGGGACCUUGAUCAUCCAAAAUUGUCUAAUGACUCGACUCCAUUGAGGUCGAUGUAUACCUCCCCACCACCCAUGUUAAGAGAUACACGCAUUUAAUCUUAGGUAGAUGCUUAAAGUAAUUAAUGGAGAAUAACCACGCUAGAAAACUUAUUUUGAGAUUUAUUAAGAUGUAUAUAUUUUUGGGUAAAAUGUUAAUUUUGAGAUUUGUCUUAAACUCUUAUAUUAGUUCUGCACGUUAUGAUAAUGAAUAUUAAUAUUAUCAUGAAUGUUUAUGAAUAGUUUACUGAGAUUUUAGAUUAGGUAGAUAAAUGUAAUUAAGUGUUGAUUUAUAAUUCUUAAGCUUUCAAUUUAUAUUAAUCUUUUCUUAUUUGGUUUUUUAAUGCUAUAUUAUUCUAUGCUAGUUUAAUUAAAAAUAGUAUUUCAUAUCUGAAAAAUAUUUGAUGAAAUGCCUGAAUAAAUAUUAUAAGUAUUUUUGCAUUCUUAGCUAACCAAAAUUGCUGUUACAAAAAAAAAAGCUAACCAAAAUUGAUAAUUGAAGUGUAGGGACAAUAUGAAUUCAUGUUUAAUGCAGAAUAACUUGUCUUGAUUCAAUUAGCUUAAGGAAAUAUUUACAUUUUCAGUGUGUUGACUUUGAUCAUCUAGAAUUGAUUCUUAAUUAUUACGAUCACACAUCCUAAACAUAUGGUUGACUUAGCGUAGUUGAAGCUUUGAGCAUAUCAAACCUCAUUAUAACUAGAGUGUUAUUUGUAUAAAAUGAUAACUAAGUAAGUAACGCUUUUCCCUUGAUAGCAAUCAAAGUACAAUUGUCAUCCAAAAUUGAUAAAAAUGUAUUUGGUUAUUCGAAAAAGCUUGCUAAUUAAUAUGAAUAUCAUGUUAUUAAAUAUAAAAUGCCAACACGUGCUUCAAUGAAUUUUGUGAUGUUAUUUUUUCAUCAACUAGACAUGUAUAAACUAACGAAUAAGUGAAUCGGUGCAUGCAGUUAUGUUGAUAAAAUAUCAAGAUCUCUACAUGUGGAAUAUAAGCAGUUUGGUAUCCACGUCCAGUGCCAGGUACCUUUUCAUUUAUGUUUCUCUUCUCUUUGACUAAAUUUUAUACUUAAUGAUUUCGCACGUAAUGUGUAAGAAAAAAAAAUAAUCCUACUAGGCACGUACUUGUGUAAAAGUAAAACUAAUGUGGUAGGUGCCGUUAUACGUGGCAACGAGGAUGGUGUCAGUAGUAGCAGCUGUUGAUAAACCAAGCUUCUUUGUACCGUCGCCGGAAGUCUACGCGAAAGCGGCGGUGGAGCAGAUCGGAAUUGGAUCACGAUGCUCCCCAUUCUGGGCUCAUUCCCUUCAAUGGUUUCUCGCAGAACUUAUGCCGGAGAACCUUCUUGAUACUUGGCGUCUCUCUAUCGGCCUUCAUAGAAGAAGUAUGUCUUAAUUCGCUCGAUCAAUCAUGUUUUUAAAUAUUUUUAGCUAUAUAUUUUCCGGUUACCUUUUUUUACUAUAACGUUUUUCUCUUACUAUCUACAGUAACUAAGCAUACUAUCGACCAAAAAUAAACAUUAUGUAAAUUUAUUAAGACUUGAGAGCGUGCUAUAUUUUUUUUCGUUAAGACCUUUUAAGAUCCACAACAGGAACAUGAAAAUAAAUGAAACAUUUUUAUGGUUAAGUUUUUGCCAUUCAAC